AGGAACGACUGCGAAAAAUGCAGCACAAGGUCCUCUGGUAGGAAUUGAACCUACGGCCCUUGUGCUGCAUUGUUCGCAGUCGUUCCU
Paramuricea clavata is the source of this 87-nucleotide non-coding RNA. NCBI's taxonomy places the organism in Eukaryota, Metazoa, Cnidaria, Anthozoa, Malacalcyonacea, Plexauridae. The record is from the annotation of a GenBank genome assembly.